UACGGGGGGAGCAAGCGUUGUUCGGAUUUACUGGGCGUAAAGGGCGCGUAGGCGGCCUGUGCAAGUCAGUUGUGAAAUCUCCGGGCUUAACUCGGAACGGUCAACUGAUACUGUGCGACUAGAGUGCAGAAGGGGCAACUGGAAUUCUCGGUGCAGCGGUGAAAUGCGUAGAUAUCGAGAGGAACACCUGCGGCGAAGGCGGGUUGCUGGGCUGACACUGACGCUGAGGCGCGAAAGCCAGGGGAGCGAACGGG
This 254-nucleotide ribosomal RNA is filed under the name uncultured bacterium. RNAcentral's name for it is "partial 16S ribosomal RNA". It matches the Rfam family "Bacterial small subunit ribosomal RNA", at positions 524 to 776 of the family's 1533-position model. The record is from RNAcentral.